This is a long non-coding RNA of Mesocricetus auratus (golden hamster), 782 nucleotides long. RefSeq lists it as uncharacterized. The transcript has 5 exons. The record is from RefSeq and is a predicted model, not a curated record. NCBI's taxonomy places the organism in Eukaryota, Metazoa, Chordata, Mammalia, Rodentia, Cricetidae.
GCCCGUCAGAGGAGUAAGAGGUCCUGACCCUUUCCUCCGGUGGAAGGCGGCCUUCCAGCACGACAUGGUGGACCCGCGUGACGGGAAAGUUGUGGACUCAGCCUCGGCACCCAUCAGCUGACAAGCAGAUAAAGAAAACCUGCUAUAGGCCACCCAGCUUCUCUGGGAUCUCACUUGCCUAUGCUGCCAGGUUUGCUAACAAGAUCACCUGCCCUGCUACUGAGGAAUCCCUUCACUGGUGUCAGAAACCCGCUUCUUCAGGAUUACAACAAAGACUGAAGACCAGCACGCUCUCUUGGAAUCCUCUGGGAUUCCAGAAACGCAUGGGUUUUUGGCCUCUCCAUCAGGAGACAUCCAUCGUUGAACUAGCCAGACCACAGCCUAUCUCCAGGAGACACCAGAAGUAUGCAAGAGUCACAGAAUCAAUUCUCUCUCUCACAGCCCUCAUAAGAAAUCAGCCCUGCAGAUGCCUUAGCCCUAACUCUGCAAAACUCUGAGAUGAUGAAGUCUGCUGUGGGAGUGAGCCAUGCGGCUAACAUGCUUUGCAAUAGUGUUUCUUGCAGACUAACCCACCAUAUAGAUGAAUGUCGUUCAUGUAAUAAUACUUAAAUUAUGAGUUUUAUUUGAUGGUAAUGUUGCCUUCAUCUAUGAGCAUUCCUCAGAAAAUGGGUCUUUUAUUUCCUACUUUACAAAUAACUAUAAUGAGUAUUUAACUCUCCACACAUUUCUCAUUUUGUGCAUCCUUCUGGAUGUGUCCUAAUAAGUAAAAAUCCUUUGUCUAA